AACGAACGCUAGCGGGAUGCUUCAAACAUGCAAGUCGAACGCGAAAGCUCUUCGGAGUGAGUAGAGUGGCGCACGGGUGAGUAACACGUAGCUAACCUACCCAUUUGCUGGGGACAACUCCGGGAAACCGGAGCUAAUACCGAAUAGUCUAAUUUUUUCUGCGGAUUAAAUUGGCAAAGCCUUCGGGCGCGAAUGGAUGGGGCUGCGUAGCAUUAGCUUGAUGGUGGGGUAACGGCCUACCAUGGCGACGAUGCUUAGCUGGUCUGAGAGGAUGAUCAGCCACACUGGAACUGAAACACGGUCCAGACUCCCACGGGAGGCAGCAGUUGGGAAUAUUGGACAAUGGGGGAAACCCUGAUCCAGCAAUCCCGCGUGAAGGAUGAAGGUCUUCGGAUCGUAAACUUCUUUCGGCAGGGAAGAACACAAUGACGGUACCUGCAGAAGAAGCACCGGCUAACUACG
RNAcentral lists this ribosomal RNA (462 nucleotides) under uncultured Pseudomonadota bacterium. RNAcentral describes it as "bacterial SSU rRNA". It matches the Rfam family "Bacterial small subunit ribosomal RNA", at positions 29 to 505 of the family's 1533-position model. Lineage: Bacteria; Pseudomonadati; Pseudomonadota. The record is from RNAcentral.